RNAcentral lists this ribosomal RNA (225 nucleotides) under Escherichia coli. RNAcentral describes it as "partial 16S ribosomal RNA". It matches the Rfam family "Bacterial small subunit ribosomal RNA", at positions 202 to 418 of the family's 1533-position model. The record is from RNAcentral. Lineage: Bacteria; Pseudomonadati; Pseudomonadota; Gammaproteobacteria; Enterobacterales; Enterobacteriaceae.
AGAGGGGGACCUUCGGGCCUCUUGCCAUCGGAUGUGCCCAGAUGGGAUUAGCUAGUAGGUGGGGUAACGGCUCACCUAGGCGACGAUCCCUAGCUGGUCUGAGAGGAUGACCAGCCACACUGGAACUGAGACACGGUCCAGACUCCUACGGGAGGCAGCAGUGGGGAAUAUUGCACAAUGGGCGCAAGCCUGAUGCAGCCAUGCCGCGUGUAUGAAGAAGGCCUU